UAAGCAGUUUCAAUUUUAUAGUACAUCUAUAUGUUCUUUUGUUAUGUUAAUUUCUAUUACAUUUAAUUUCUGGUCGCGUGAUAUUUUACCACGUGCGACUUGUUAACAAUUAUCUGAAAGGGAAUGUGUAUUUAUUCAUAAAAAAUGUGAAUUGAAAAGAUUUUUAACCAAAAUAAAUACAUUAGUAUUUUUCAAUAAAUAAAUGUAGUUGUAGUUUUG
Molecule: long non-coding RNA, 219 nt
Filed under: Mytilus galloprovincialis (Mediterranean mussel)
Lineage: Eukaryota; Metazoa; Mollusca; Bivalvia; Mytilida; Mytilidae
Source: RNAcentral